CAGGGUUAGCGGUGGUGGGGUCCGGGAGCAACAUGGCGGCGUCCGUGAGGCGCUGCUUUGGGGAAAAAGUAGUGUUCGGUGUCGCUGUCUUGCGGGAAUAUUGACAGAUUGGCGCUUUCCGCUACCACCCGCCUACAGGCAGCCUGUGCUGAUAGGUGGGCAGCUUUAUCGUCCCCUCUGAUUCUCAAAAGCAGGGUCCUGAGCACUAACGAGCAUGAGCAACAUCUACAUCCAGGAGCCUCCCACGAACGGGAAGGUUUUAUUGAAAACUACAGCUGGAGAUAUUGACAUAGAGUUAUGGUCAAAAGAAGCUCCUAAAGCUUGCAGAAAUUUCAUUCAGCUUUGCUUGGAAGCCUAUUACGACAACACCAUUUUUCAUAGAGUUGUACCUGGUUUUAUAGUCCAAGGGGGUGAUCCUACUGGUACAGGGGCUGGUGGAGAGUCUAUCUAUGGAGCCCCAUUCAAGGAUGAAUUCCACUCACGGUUACGUUUUAAUCGGAGAGGACUGGUUGCCAUGGCAAACGCUGGUCCUCAUGAUAAUGGCAGCCAGUUCUUCUUCACACUGGGUCGAGCAGAUGAACUCAACAAUAAGCACACCAUCUUCGGAAAGGUUACAGGGGACACAGUAUAUAACAUGCUGCGACUGACAGAAGUAGACAUUGGUGAUGAAGAAAGACCACGUAAUCCACACAAAAUAAAAAGUUGUGAGGUUUUGUUUAAUCCUUUUGAUGACAUCAUACCAAGAGAAAUAAAAAAGCCAAAAAAAGAGAAACCAGAAGAGGAAGUAAAGAAAUUGAAACCCAAGGGCACAAAAAAUUUUAGUUUACUUUCAUUUGGAGAGGAAGCUGAGGAAGAAGAGGAAGAAGUAAAUCGAGUUAGUCAGAGCAUGAAGGGAAAAAGCAAAAGUAGUCAUGACUUGCUAAAGGAUGAUCCACAUCUCAGUUCUGUUCCAGCUGUUGGAAGUGAGGAAGGUGAUGCAGCAGAUUUGACUGAUGAUGGAGACUAUGAGAGUGCAGAGCAUGAUGAAUCUGUUGAUGGUGAUGAGAAGAACCUGAUGAGAGAAAGAAUUACAAAAAAGUUAAAAAAGGCUACAAGUGCAAAUGUUAAAUCAGCUGGAGAAGUGAACAAAUCAUUUAGCCGCAGUGAGGAGCUCAGAAAAGAAGCGAGACAAUUAAAGCGGGAACUUUUAGCAGCAAAACAGAAAAAAGAAACUGCAGCAAAACAAGCAGAAAAAAGAAGCGAGGAGGAAGAGCUUGCUCCAGAUGGUGCUGUUGCAGAAUACAGAAGAGAAAAGCAAAAGUAUGAAGCUUUGAGGAAGCAGCAGGCAAAGAAAGGAACAUCCCGGGAAGAUCAGACCCUUGCGCUGCUGAACCAGUUUAAAUCUAAACUCACUCAAGCAAUUGCUGAAACUCCUGAAAAUGAUGUUUCUGAAACAGAAGUAGAAGAUGACGAAGGAUGGAUUCUUCAAAAUCUGAGUAUAUCCGUGGGAGUUUGUCAUAUAGUGAAUUUCACUCAGCAUUUAUGUUACUUCAGGGGACUAGGGUGCGGAAUCUCUCCUAGUUCCUACUGCCCAGAUCUCUGUUUAUGUGGGGGAAAAGAAAUUAAUGUAAUACUUGAGUUUCAUCUGAAAGUUACAACUGGCAUAAGGGGAGUGUUAAUCCUAAAGGCAAUUUAGCCCUAUCUGCUGUGAUAAAGAAAAGUGCUGGGCAUGCCUGAUUUUAAAAUUACAUUAAUAACUAGUGAGAAAAGCCUUAGUAGUUUUGUUUAUAUUUAAAAAACUGAACUGAACUGUUCUCUCCAGAUUCAUUCAACUGCCCUGAAAUCUGAUCUUUUGACUUCCUUAUUUAUUCCUGACACCUCCUAAUAGGGGCAGAGCUAAUCACUUACAUAUUUCCCUGCUGCCAAGGAUAGCCAGCUUAUGACCACUUACAAUUCAAGCACAUGCUGAUACCUUAAGACCAGUAAGCAUUUGAUAAAGUAGGAAAGCAGGGUGGUUAGAUUUGUUGUAAUCAACAGUAAGAGGAGGAAAUUAGUCCAUGGACCUAUGCCAAAAACUUAGUGUCCUUUUGCGCGCGCGCACACACACAAACACACACACACACACACAAUGUUUAACCCAGCAACUCCUCAGAAAUGGGCAUCAUAGCACCAUUUAUCAAGAAUUUUCUUAACAUGUUCCCUACUCUUGACCCAUUUAACUACUGAAAACAAAAAAAUCAGAUACCCCUGGUCAUUGUCAGGAGUUUUGCCCUGCAGCCUGGCUCACUGUGGCUAAGUGAGUAUGCUCUUUAAAGGAAGCUGACAGAAUCAUCUCUGAGUUUAGUGUGAGGAACACUUCUGGGUCGAACUCUUAACCUCCCAUCAUGGAAGAACCUCAAGUGAAGACUGAGGCAGAGAGACUCACUACUAGAAAUACAAGCCAGCAGAACAAACUCCAGACAUGGUUCUCAAAUGAUGUCGCAUGUACUUCAGUUUGAGGAUAAAAGCAGAAAAGUGAAAGAUGCAAGCAUGCAAGACUCAGACACAUUUGAGAUCUAUGAUCCUCGGAAUCCAGUGAAUAAAAGAAGAAGGGAAGAAAGCAA
Manis javanica (Malayan pangolin) is the source of this 2582-nucleotide non-coding RNA. The record is from RefSeq and is a predicted model, not a curated record. NCBI's taxonomy places the organism in Eukaryota, Metazoa, Chordata, Mammalia, Pholidota, Manidae.